This 329-nucleotide ribosomal RNA is filed under the name uncultured Alphaproteobacteria bacterium. RNAcentral's name for it is "bacterial SSU rRNA". It matches the Rfam family "Bacterial small subunit ribosomal RNA", at positions 483 to 811 of the family's 1533-position model. The record is from RNAcentral. Lineage: Bacteria; Pseudomonadati; Pseudomonadota; Alphaproteobacteria.
AGAAUAAGCCCCGGCUAACUUCGUGCCAGCAGCCGCGGUAAUACUAAGGGGGCUAGCGUUGUUCGGAAUUACUGGGCGUAAAGUGCGCGUAAGCGGCUGGGCAUAUCGGGUGUGAAAUUCCCGGGCUCAACUCGGGGUGUGCCUUCGAUACUGAUCCUCUUGAUUGCAGGAGAGGGUAGUGGAAUUCCCUGUGUAGAGGUGAAAUUCAUAUAUAUUGGGAAGAACACCAGUGGCGAAGGCGGCUCACUGGCCCGGUACUGACGCUGAGGCGCGAAAGCGUGGGGAGCAAACAGGAUUAGAUACCCUGGUAGUCCACGCCAUAAACUAUG